GCCAGUGUGGCGAAAUCGGUAGACGCAGCGGAUUCAAAAUCCGCCGUUGAAUAAACGUGUCGGUUCGAGUCCGACCACUGGCACCAUUA
This 89-nucleotide transfer RNA is filed under the name Actinobacillus pleuropneumoniae serovar 3 str. JL03. Its description in RNAcentral is "tRNA-Leu". It matches the Rfam family "tRNA". Rfam says of the family: Transfer RNA (tRNA) molecules are approximately 80 nucleotides in length. Their secondary structure includes four short double-helical elements and three loops (D, anti-codon, and T loops). Further hydrogen bonds mediate the characteristic L-shaped molecular structure. tRNAs have two regions of fundamental functional importance: the anti-codon, which is responsible for specific mRNA codon recognition, and the 3' end, to which the tRNAs corresponding amino acid is attached (by aminoacyl-tRNA synthetases). tRNAs cope with the degeneracy of the genetic code in two manners: having more than one tRNA (with a specific anti-codon) for a particular amino acid; and 'wobble' base-pairing, i.e. permitting non-standard base-pairing at the 3rd anti-codon position. The record is from RNAcentral. Lineage: Bacteria; Pseudomonadati; Pseudomonadota; Gammaproteobacteria; Pasteurellales; Pasteurellaceae.